CACCUCUAGCAUAACAACUAUUAGAGGCACCGCCUGCCCAGUGACAUAUGUUCAACGGCCGCGGUACCCUGACCGUGCAAAGGUAGCAUAAUCAUUUGUUCUUUAAUUAAGGACUUGCAUGAAAGGCCUAACGAGGAUUUUACUGUCUCCUACUUCCAAUCAAUGAAAUUGACCCCCCCGUGAAGAGGCAGGGAUAAUCAUAUAAGACGAGAAGACCCUACGGAACUUUAAUUAACUAGCCUAAUCAUGACCCAUACAAACCUAGCGGGGGCAACUUUCCAUGACCUAGACUAGCAAUUUCGGUUGGGGCGACCUCGGAGUACAAAAAACCCUCCGAAUGAUCACGCACCCAGACCUCACCAGUCAACGUGCCUCAAUAUCAACUCAAUUGACCCAAGUAAUUGAUCAACGGAACAAGCUACCCUAGGGAUAACAGCGCAAUCCUAUUUCAGAGUCCAUAUCGACAAUAGGGUUUACGACCUCGAUGUUGGAUCAGGACAUCCCAGUAGUGUAACCGCCACUAAAGGUUCGUUUGUUCAACGAUUAAAGUCCUACGU
Molecule: ribosomal RNA, 557 nt
Filed under: Bradypus variegatus (Brown-throated sloth)
Lineage: Eukaryota; Metazoa; Chordata; Mammalia; Pilosa; Bradypodidae
Description: partial 16S ribosomal RNA
Rfam family: Bacterial large subunit ribosomal RNA
Source: RNAcentral